Ameiurus melas (black bullhead) is the source of this 73-nucleotide non-coding RNA. NCBI's taxonomy places the organism in Eukaryota, Metazoa, Chordata, Actinopteri, Siluriformes, Ictaluridae. The record is from the annotation of a GenBank genome assembly.
GUUAAGGUAGCUAAUUGGUUAUGACCUUGGACUUCUGAUCGGAAGGUCAUGAGUUCAAAUCCCAGCACUGCUA